GAUAUUUGAAAGCACGUCAACGAACGGAAAUGUUGCUUGAUAUGCAUAGUACAUAGUCAAAAAAAAUGUCAGCAAUCAAGGUGUUUAAAUAAUCAAAGUGUAUUUAGUUGCUUACAGAAAUCCCCUUAAAGCAGCGACAAUGAUUUUAAGCUUGUGUGCGCAGAUGGUAUACAAAUUUGCAUCGAUGUGUUUAUCAAAGUUCCUUUACUAAGGGAACUAUAAGCCAUCCCUCUCAAUCACUUACAUAUUAUUUGUAGAAAAAUAGCAUUGUUUGUCCAAAGUAUAUCAGGUUUAUCAUGGUGCCUUUAUUGACCAAGUUUGUUCGGCGCUCUUACUCAAAUCAAUUGAGCGAAUUCCAGAUGGCUUUACUGGCGCGUGGAUUGCCAAGGAAGGAACCCAUUAUUGGAGCUCAGGACAUAAUAGUCGUCGCGUCCGGAAAGGAAGGUGUAGACAAAAGCACCAUCGCGAGUGGGCUUGGCUGAAUUAUUCUAAGGCAUCUAACCACAGAAAGAAAAUUAAUCCUAAAAAAAACAAUUUCAGGGGUCUUCAACGUAUUUCUUGCAUAUGUACGAGGUGUGUUCAAAAAGUAAGGUGACUUUGUAUUUUUGAGAAAACUAUUAAUUUAUUUAUCAAUAUUAAUGUUGUCCCCUUCAAAGUAAUCCCCCUCAGAUACAAUACACUUAUGCCAAAGGUUUUUCCAAUCCUCAAAGCACUUCCCAUAAGCACUUUUCG
RNA transcript from Drosophila biarmipes, 732 nucleotides. It is a transcript of the gene named iron-sulfur protein NUBPL-like, with no coding region annotated. The record is from RefSeq and is a predicted model, not a curated record. Lineage: Eukaryota; Metazoa; Arthropoda; Insecta; Diptera; Drosophilidae. The transcript is spliced from 2 exons.